GCUAGAAGAUGACGAGCGGCGGACGGGUGAGUAAUACUUAGGAAUCUACCUAGUAGUGGGGGAUAGCUCGGGGAAACUCGAAUUAAUACCGCAUACGACCUACGGGAGAAAGGGGGCAACUUGUUGCUCUCGCUAUUAGAUGAGCCUAAGUCGGAUUAGCUAGAUGGUGGGGUAAAGGCCUACCAUGGCGACGAUCUGUAGCUGGUCUGAGAGGAUGAUCAGCCACACCGGGACUGAGACACGGCCCGGACUCCUACGGGAGGCAGCAGUGGGGAAUAUUGGACAAUGGGGGAAACCCUGAUCCAGCCAUGCCGCGUGUGUGAAGAAGGCCUUUUGGUUGUAAAGCACUUUAAGCAGUGAAGAAGACUCUUCGGUUAAUACCCGGAGACGAUGACAUUAGCUGCAGAAUAAGCACCGGCUAACUCUGUGCCAGCAGCCGCGGUAAUACAGAGGGUGCAAGCGUUAAUCGGAAUUACUGGGCGUAAAGCGAGCGUAGGUGGCUUGAUAAGUCAGAUGUGAAAUCCCCGGGCUUAACCUGGGAACUGCAUCUGAUACUGUCAGGCUAGAGUAGGUGAGAGGAAGGUAGAAUUCCAGGUGUAGCGGUGAAAUGCGUAGAGAUCUGGAGGAAUACCGAUGGCGAAGGCAGCCUUCUGGCAUCAUACUGACACUGAGGCUCGAAAGC
Molecule: ribosomal RNA, 682 nt
Filed under: Psychrobacter sp. Y4_307_4
Lineage: Bacteria; Pseudomonadati; Pseudomonadota; Gammaproteobacteria; Moraxellales; Moraxellaceae
Description: bacterial SSU rRNA
Rfam family: Bacterial small subunit ribosomal RNA
Source: RNAcentral